Long non-coding RNA from Panicum virgatum (switchgrass), 178 nucleotides. RefSeq lists it as uncharacterized. The record is from RefSeq and is a predicted model, not a curated record. NCBI's taxonomy places the organism in Eukaryota, Viridiplantae, Streptophyta, Magnoliopsida, Poales, Poaceae. The transcript has 2 exons.
ACAUAGUAAUAGUUGUUCAACCUGUGCAGUACUGCAGAUUUUGUACUCUGCUAAUCUGUAGAGAACAUGGAUAGAUAUAGAAAUGUACAACAUGGUUGUGGAUGUGAAUGAGAUGGGCGUCAAGCAUACAUGCAGAUUUCUGCUAGGUCAAAGAUGAAGAAGCAAGCUGUGUUGGAGG